RNAcentral lists this ribosomal RNA (363 nucleotides) under uncultured bacterium. RNAcentral describes it as "partial 16S ribosomal RNA". It matches the Rfam family "Bacterial small subunit ribosomal RNA", at positions 338 to 698 of the family's 1533-position model. The record is from RNAcentral.
CCUACGGGGGGCUGCAGUGAGGAAUAUUGGUCAAUGGACGCAAGUCUGAACCAGCCAUGCCGCGUGCAGGAAGACGGCUCUACGAGUUGUAAACUGCUGUUAUACGAGGGUAAACUCAGAUACGCGUACCUCUCUGUAAGUAUCGUACGAAUACGGAUCGACUAACUCCGUGCCAGCAGCCGCGGUAAUACGGAGGAUUCAAGCGUUAUCCGGAUUUAUUGGGUUUAAAGGGUGCGUAGGCGGUCGGGUAAGUGAGUGGUGAAAUCCCGGGGCUCAACUUGGGAAUUGCCUCUGAUACUGUGAGGCUAGAGGGAAGUUGCGGUAGGCGGAAUGUAUGGUGUAGCGGUGAAAUGCUUAGAGAUC